Molecule: ribosomal RNA, 253 nt
Filed under: uncultured bacterium
Lineage: Bacteria
Description: partial 16S ribosomal RNA
Rfam family: Bacterial small subunit ribosomal RNA
Source: RNAcentral
UACGUAGGGGGCUAGCGUUGUCCGGAAUCAUUGGGCGUAAAGAGCGUGUAGGCGGUCCGGUAAGUCCGCUGUGAAAGUCGGGGGCUCAACCCUCGAAUGCCGGUGGAUACUGUCGGGCUAGAGUGCGGAAGAGGCGAGUGGAAUUCCUGGUGUAGCGGUGAAAUGCGCAGAUAUCAGGAGGAACACCGGUGGCGAAGGCGGCAUCCUGGACCAAUAUUGACGCUGAGGAGCGAAAGCCAGGGGAGCAAACGGG